Macaca mulatta (Rhesus monkey) is the source of this 875-nucleotide non-coding RNA. NCBI's taxonomy places the organism in Eukaryota, Metazoa, Chordata, Mammalia, Primates, Cercopithecidae. The record is from RefSeq and is a predicted model, not a curated record.
UCUGAGCUGGCUGAAUUAUGGGUGUCUUAAGGGCAGCCAGAGCCCUGAUGGGUGAGAAGGCAUCCUUGAGAAGUGGCCUCCUACACCUGUAAGAAUAUGGGUAGAGAGGAAAGGAAAUAGCAUUUUGUUGGUGCUGGAGGCCACAGGGCAAUAGGUGGGAAGCAAUAGAGGCAAGAGAUGUAGAUAUGAGCAUGAUUGCAAUUCCCUGGGGGAGGAACUUUCAGAAGGAUAAUGAAGGAUGACAUGAGGAUGCUCAUCAUGUGCCUGGCAUGGUGUUAGGCAUGAUUCAAGGAUUCCUCAUUUAAUUCCCGUAACAACGCUAUAGGACAGGUGCAAUUAUGACAUCAUUGGAGAUGAGAAAACUGAAGCUGAGGAAGUAGAAGUUAGUUACCCUGGUUCUCUCAACUAGUAGGUGCAGAACUAGGAUGUACAGACCAAGUGCUACCCAGAGAGAAGACUCUGCUGAGUGCCUGCAACCAAGAGGUCUUGGAAGGUCUCCUUCACCCUGGCUUAAGAGUAACAGGAGGAAGAUACACUGGAAACAAUGGCAGCACCGGGCAUAUCUCUGGGUCCUUGCUCGAUUAGACUUUUCAGUCUCUGUCUCAUACUUGCCAGCUGCAAGCUCUGGAUUUGGGAGGAGCUGAGAAGGAGACAGGCUGGAGAGGGAGGGGCAGCAAAUCCAGGUCACCUACAGGCAGUGCCCCAAGUCCUGAGGAGGGGGCCACUCACAUUCCACUGAAGAAAGAAGCUCCAGCACAAAGCAUCCAGGAUGGAACCAGAAACUGGAAAGCUGACAGCUCCACCCCACGUAAUCCAACCUCCCCACCUCUCCCUGACCCCAUCCUGCGGUGUAAAUAAAUAAUUGAGAAAACACA